Molecule: non-coding RNA, 28 nt
Filed under: Homo sapiens (human)
Lineage: Eukaryota; Metazoa; Chordata; Mammalia; Primates; Hominidae
Source: RNAcentral
UGGUGCAUUUUACAGAGCGUUGAUUGGU